RNAcentral lists this transfer RNA (72 nucleotides) under Ranitomeya sirensis (Sira poison frog). RNAcentral's name for it is "tRNA-Val". It matches the Rfam family "tRNA". Rfam says of the family: Transfer RNA (tRNA) molecules are approximately 80 nucleotides in length. Lineage: Eukaryota; Metazoa; Chordata; Amphibia; Anura; Dendrobatidae. The record is from RNAcentral.
CAAAAUGUAGCUUAAUUUUAAAGCACUUCGCUUACACCGAAGUUAUCUCUGUGUAAACCCAGAUCGUUUUGA